Achroia grisella is the source of this 1032-nucleotide long non-coding RNA. RefSeq lists it as uncharacterized. The transcript is spliced from 5 exons. The record is from RefSeq and is a predicted model, not a curated record. Lineage: Eukaryota; Metazoa; Arthropoda; Insecta; Lepidoptera; Pyralidae.
UGGAAGUAUUCUAUUAUAAGAUUUUAUAAAGCUUUUGUCAUAAAUUCAUAUGAAUAUUAAGAAAAUUAUAAGAUUUUGUUUCAAAAGAACUAGAGAAUGAUACAAAAUAGUUAAUUACCUAUUCAUACGCAUUAUAACAGAAUAACCUCAAUGAUUAGUGACGCAUUAAAAAUGUCAUUCAUGUGCUCAAAUUUUGUCAAUACAACGCAAUGGUUAGUCAGAGGAGAUCGGAAACAAUUAGACAACUGUGGCAUUGGUCAGCAGAGCGAAUAUCCGUACGUAGCGCGUUGUCCUACUGCUUUACUUGCGGGUAUUUUUUAAGAGUGCUUUAGAUACUGUAACAUAUUAACUGACAAAUUUAAUACGAAUAAUAUUGAACCUUAUGUGGUGAUAGUAUAGUCUACAAAAUAUCUAUUUGUAUGAAGUAUGUACAUAAUGGUAUCGUCAUGAGGAUUUCUAUAUCACAGUCACUGAAUAUAAAAUGUCAAUAAUAAUUGGACUGGUUGUAUAUAUUUUGUCAAGUAAAAGGUUAACAGAUAAGAAAGAUGAAAGAAUAUAUGCAGAGCUGAGAUAGCGACCGGACCAUAAGGAGAAAGUGUUGAAAAGCCACAUGCCCACGUUGAUGAUGAGUAGGAACAUGAGGAGUUCUCGCCCUGGUUUCCUCCGGCGGAGCUUCUUGGAAUUACUGCAUCGGCGCAGUCCAUCCAUGAUAAGGGGUGUUUGAAUAAAAACUUGUAUGAUCUCCAAGUAUAAGCAUACCAGCUAUGACGACUGUCAUCAUCAGUCCCAUGAAAAGACCGCGGUUGGACGCAUGGCAGUCCGCAUGGAUCACCACGUUACUCGUGAAGUCAUUGUCUUCAUUCGCUCUUUUUGAAGCCGCUGCACCCAUAUAUUACAGCACUAGCUGACCCGCGCAACUUCGUUUGCAUCACACUUAUCUACAUGCGGAGUAUGAUGUUUCAUUACUGCCGUAACCAUUACCAUACACUGAAUUAGCGUAUAUUGUUAACGCCAAAAUUGUCUCUCGGACUA